GACGAACGCUGGCGGCGUGCCUAAUACAUGCAAGUAGAACGCUGAAGGAGGAGCUUGCUUCCCUGGAUGAGUUGCGAACGGGUGAGUAACGCGUAGGUAACCUGCCUGGUAGCGGGGGAUAACUAUUGGAAACGAUAGCUAAUACCGCAUAAGAGUAGAUGUUGCAUGACAUUUGCUUAAAAGGUGCAAUUGCAUCACUACCAGAUGGACCUGCGUUGGAUUAGCUAGUUGGUGGGGUAACGGCUCAACAAGGCGACGAUACAUAGUCGACCUGAGAGGGGGAUCGGCCACACUGGGACUGAGACACGGCCCAGACUCCUACGGGAGGCAGCAGUAGGGAAUCUUCGGCAAUGGACGGAAGUCUGACCGAGCAACGCCGCGGGAGUGAAGAAGGGUUUCGGAUCGUAAAGCUCUGUUGUAAGGGAAGAACGAGUGUGGUAGUGGAAAGUUCACGCUGUGACGGUAUCUAACCAGAAAGGGACGGCUAACUACGUG
RNAcentral lists this ribosomal RNA (495 nucleotides) under uncultured bacterium. Its description in RNAcentral is "partial 16S ribosomal RNA". It matches the Rfam family "Bacterial small subunit ribosomal RNA", at positions 28 to 507 of the family's 1533-position model. The record is from RNAcentral.